AACAACGGAGAGUUUGAUCCUGGCUCAGGAUGAACGCUAGCGGCAGGCUUAACACAUGCAAGUCGAGGGGCAGCGGGGAGGAAGCUUGCUUUCUCCGCCGGCGACCGGCGCACGGGUGAGUAACACGUAUGCAACCUGCCCCUGUCAGGGGGACAACCCGCCGAAAGGCGGGCUAAACCCGCGUACAUGCCACCGGGGCAUCCCGGAGGCAGGAAAGGCUUCGGCCGGACAGGGAUGGGCAUGCGGCGCAUUAGGCAGUAGGCGGGGUAACGGCCCACCUAACCGACGAUGCGUAGGGGUUCUGAGAGGAAGGUCCCCCACACUGGUACUGAGACACGGACCAGACUCCUACGGGAGGCAGCAGUGAGGAAUAUUGGUCAAUGGUCGGGAGACUGAACCAGCCAAGCCGCGUGAGGGAGGAAGGUACAGAGUAUCGUAAACCUCUUUUGUCAGGGAACAAAGGCGGGGACGUGUCCCCGGAUGAGUGUACCUGAAGAAAAAGCAUCGGCUAACUCCGUGCCAGCAGCCGCGGUAAUACGGAGGAUGCGAGCGUUAUCCGGAUUUAUUGGGUUUAAAGGGUGCGCAGGCGGUCUGUUAAGUCAGCGGUCAAAGCCCGGGGCUCAACCCCGGCCCGCCGUUGAAACUGGCAGUCUCGAGUUGGAGAGAAGUAUGCGGAAUGCGCGGUGUAGCGGUGAAAUGCAUAGAUAUCGCGCAGAACUCCGAUUGCGAAGGCAGCAUGCCGGCUCCACACUGACGCUGAGGCACGAAAGCGUGGGUAUCGAACAGGAUUAGAUACCCUGGUAGUCCACGCAGUAAACGAUGAAUGCUGGCUGUCCGGGGGGAUUGACCCCUGGGUGGCGAAGCGAAAGCGAUAAGCAUUCCACCUGGGGAGUACGCCGGCAACGGUGAAACUCAAAGGAAUUGACGGGGGCCCGCACAAGCGGAGGAACAUGUGGUUUAAUUCGAUGAUACGCGAGGAACCUUACCCGGGCUCAAACGGGGAGUGACUCAGGCAGAGACGCCUGUUUCCCACGGGACACUCCCCGAGGUGCUGCAUGGUUGUCGUCAGCUCGUGCCGUGAGGUGUCGGCUUAAGUGCCAUAACGAGCGCAACCCCCGCGUGCAGUUGCUAACAGUCAACGCUGAGGACUCUGCACGGACUGCCGGCGCAAGCCGCGAGGAAGGCGGGGAUGACGUCAAAUCAGCACGGCCCUUACGUCCGGGGCGACACACGUGUUACAAUGGGUGGUACAGCGGGAAGCCAGGCGGCGACGCCGAGCGGAACCCGAAAUCCACUCUCAGUUCGGAUCGGAGUCUGCAACCCGACUCCGUGAAGCUGGAUUCGCUAGUAAUCGCGCAUCAGCCAUGGCGCGGUGAAUACGUUCCCGGGCCUUGUACACACCGCCCGUCAAGCCAUGGGAGCCGAGGGCGCUUGAAGUGCGUCGCCGCGAGGCGCGCCCUAGAGCGAAAUCGGUGACUGGGGCUAAGUCGUAACAAGGUAGCCGUACCGGAAGGUGCGGCUGGAACACCUCCUUUCUGGA
RNAcentral lists this ribosomal RNA (1540 nucleotides) under Bacteroidales bacterium. RNAcentral's name for it is "16S ribosomal RNA". It matches the Rfam family "Bacterial small subunit ribosomal RNA". Lineage: Bacteria; Pseudomonadati; Bacteroidota; Bacteroidia; Bacteroidales. The record is from RNAcentral.